UUCCGGUUGAUCCUGCCGGACCUGACUGCUAUCGGAUUGAUACUAAGCCAUGCGAGUCAUUGUAGUAAUACAAGGCAGACGGCUCAGUAACGCGUAGUCAACCUACCUUAUGGACGGGGAUAACCUCGGGAAACUGAGAAUAAUACCCGAUAGAACAUUAUGCCUGGAAUGGUUUAUGUUUCAAAUAAUUUAUUGCCGUAGGAUGGGACUGCGGCCUAUCAGUUUGUUGGUGAGGUAAUGGCCCACCAAGACUAUUACAGGUACGGGCUCUGAGAGGAGUAGCCCGGAGAUGGGUACUGAGACACGGACCCAGGCCCUAUGGGGCGCAGCAGGCGAGAAAACUUUGCAAUGUGCGAAAGCACGACAAGGUUAAUCCGAGUGGUUUCUGCUAAAGGAACCUUUUGUCAGUCCUAGAAACACUGAUGAAUAAGGGGUGGGCAAGUUCUGGUGUCAGCCGCCGCGGUAAAACCAGCACCUCAAGUGGUCAGGAUGAUUAUUGGGCCUAAAGCAUCCGUAGCCUGUUCUAUAAGUUUCCGGUUAAAUCCAUUAGCUCAACUGAUGGGCCGCCGGAAAAACUGCAAAGCUAGGGAGUGGGAGAGGUAGACGGUACUCGGUAGGAAGGGGUAAAAUCCUUUGAUCUAUUGAUGACCACCUGUGGCGAAGGCGGUCUACCAGAACACGUCCGACGGUGAGGGAUGAAAGCUGGGGGAGCAAACCGGAUUAGAUACCCGGGUAGUCCCAGCUGUAAACGAUGCAGACUCGGUGAUGCCCUGGCUUGUGGCCAGUGCAGUGCCGCAGGAAGCCGUUAAGUUUGCCGCCUGGGAAGUACGUACGCAAGUAUGAAACUUAAAAGGAAUUGGCGGGGGAGCACACAAAGGGGUGAAGCCUGCGGUUCAAUUGGAUUCAACGCCGGGA
This 915-nucleotide ribosomal RNA is filed under the name uncultured archaeon. RNAcentral describes it as "bacterial SSU rRNA". It matches the Rfam family "Archaeal small subunit ribosomal RNA", at positions 1 to 923 of the family's 1478-position model. The record is from RNAcentral.